AUCACGCCGGCUGCUGGCAGUUAACCUUGGCCCCAGCACAGCCGCCCCGUUGGGAGUUCGGGAGGCCCAGGCGCGUCCUCGAGACCCCAGGCCAGGGCCGGGCGGCGCCGCGGAUCCUGCGGUCUGAGGCGGCGCGAUGGCCACACCCACCGGCUGAGUGGUGACAGCUCCCGCCGGGGAGGCGGGCACUGCCGACAGGUGCAGCCGCCCGUUAGGCCCCUCCCCGCCCGGGCCGGGCCCAGGUCUCGGCCUGUAGCCCUGGAGCGCCCCCGCCCGCACCACCUGUCGGGACGCCCCGCGCGCAGCCGGUGGCUGACGCCCCGCCCGGCUCCCGAUAAGCGGCCAGCGGCGGCAGCGCGAGGUCUCGGGGGGAUGAGAGCUUUACCGAAGGGUGGGUCCCACGCAGGCGGUGUCGGUGCUCUCGAUCUCCUGCAAGAUCCGCUCAUGCUCUGGGACGCUACCCAGACCCUCACCAUUCUCCGCCAUCUUGGCUGGAAGCUGAGGAGCCGGGAAUCAAAAUGUGACUGAUCUGAGCACAUACUGGCGUGGAAGAUCAAGGAAGAUCCGCUCAUCCAACUGCCCAUUCUACCAAGAAACCCCUCACAAGCCUAUUUCCACGAUCUCAGUGGGCAGAAGAAUCCAGAUCCUCUCUGGGAAAUCACACUUUCUCAAGAUGUAAGAAUACGCCACCACAACAAAAUGUCUUCCUGAGACCACCAGCACUGUCACACUGUUAAAAAUCUGACGUUCAGAGAGGACUUUUUUUUUAAUUUUGCAAUUCUGUAUAGUUCCCCUUGGAGUUCUGCAUGUGACUGAAAGAAAGGAGUUUUGAAACCAGACAAUGCUGAAGACAGGAAGCCAUUGGAAAGAAUUUAGGAUGAAUUAGAAAGCCUUCCAAAUAGUUUUGAGUAUAAGGCAGGGGUUUGAUUAAUCUGUGAUUGGCAACAAUUUGGAAUUAGAACAACAGCAAAUUGUAAAAGGAAAUGGCAGACGCUCUUCGCCCAAUCGACGUGCAGAAUUCAUUGCUCUGAAGAGUAAAGCAAGGUGCAGAGAAGUGGCACAGGCCGCCUUCUCAUUUGGCAGCCGUCUCCUGAUGGAGCAUUCCUUUCCUGAGCACUCGUUACCCAAGACCUUUUCCCCUUCUCUUCACCAAUCCUGACACCAUCUGCCCAGACCCAGCCCCUGUUCUGGGAAGCCCGCCCUGCAGUGGUGCACCUCACUCCAGGCCCAUUUCAACACCUGCUUCAACAUAAGCAGGAGCAUCUUCCCCUCAAGUCAAGUCAAGACAGAAGGAAGUCCAUUUACCACUUCUGCUUCCGAAACAGCUUUUGCUGGUUCCCUUUAUGACUUCUGACAUUUCCGUUAGCACCUGAAGUUUUUUGCUAAGAACUUAAAACUAAAUCUUCUAAAUAACUAUGUACAUUUAAAUUUUAGACAUAGAUAUAACAAAUGUAUAAAUGUGCAAAGAAAAAAAGCCUAUUCUAAUUCUAUUCUAAGUGAUACAUUUCUAAAAAGGCUGUGAUAUAAAGAAUUUCAGCUACAGGCCAAAAUAAAAGCCAUACUAGCUAUAUA
Molecule: long non-coding RNA, 1572 nt
Organism: Suricata suricatta (meerkat)
Lineage: Eukaryota; Metazoa; Chordata; Mammalia; Carnivora; Herpestidae
Exons: 3
Source: RefSeq, a predicted model, not a curated record